CGACAUUAAUUACACACUGUGCAGGACACACGGAGAGGACACCGAUAACACUCAGUUAACCGUUAACUAGAACUUUAGCGGUCGUUUGUUUUCGCUCCACUUGCACGUCGGAGCUAGUUCGCUAACUGUUUAGCUAGCGUUAGCAAAAGUGCUACGGUAACUCUUGUUAGGAGGGGUGUCACUGCUGGAGGGUCUUUGCUGCCAUCACUCUGCAUCUCUUGGAUAAUCAGCAUCUCUCUCAGCUCCCAGUAUCCAAAUCACCACCAUGAAGACACCAAAAAGUAAUAAACCAACAGAUUCCCACCUAAGCUGCUUGGCUGCCUCAAGGAGACAUGAGGCCAAGUCCAAACGGCUUUCACCAUCAUCAUCCUCCUCACUGGGCUGAGCUGCGAUCCAACUCUUCAUUAGCUCCUCGUCAAGGUCAA
Molecule: long non-coding RNA, 425 nt
Organism: Lates calcarifer (barramundi perch)
Lineage: Eukaryota; Metazoa; Chordata; Actinopteri; Centropomidae
Exons: 3
Source: RefSeq, a predicted model, not a curated record